UUGGACAAUGGGCAAAGCCUGAUCCAGCCAUGCCGCGUGUGUGAAGAAGGUCUUCGGAUUGUAAAGCACUUUAAGUUGGGAGUAAGGGCAGUUACCUAAUACGUGAAUUUGUUUUGACGUUACCGACAGAAUAAGCACCGGCUAACUCUGUGCCAGCAGCCGCGGUAAUACAGAGGGUGCAAGCGUUAAUCGGAAUUACUGGGCGUAAAGCGCGCGUAGGUGGUUAGUUAAGUUGGAUGUGAAAUCCCCGGGCUCAACCUGGGAACUGCAUUCAAAACUGACUGACUAGAGUAUGGUAGAGGGUGGUGGAAUUUCCUGUGUAGCGGUGAAAUGCGUAGAUAUAGGAAGGAACACCAGUGGCGAAGGCGACCACCUGGACUGAUACUGACACUGAGGGUCGCGAAAGCGUGGGGGAGCAAACAGGAUUAGAUACCCCUGGUAG
This 442-nucleotide ribosomal RNA is filed under the name uncultured bacterium. RNAcentral's name for it is "bacterial SSU rRNA". It matches the Rfam family "Bacterial small subunit ribosomal RNA", at positions 364 to 793 of the family's 1533-position model. The record is from RNAcentral.